Molecule: long non-coding RNA, 977 nt
Organism: Zea mays
Lineage: Eukaryota; Viridiplantae; Streptophyta; Magnoliopsida; Poales; Poaceae
Exons: 4
Source: RefSeq, a predicted model, not a curated record
ACAACACCUUUAAAUAAAGGAACCACUGCUUAAUAAUGAUGUUAAACAGGGAUGGUCUAGUCUAGGGGAUUAAUAUGUUCUAGCCUUUCAUGGUAGUUGAACUGAUUUUGGGUGGGCUGAGUUACCUAUCUUUUAUUUGGUCACGAAUGUUCAUUACUACCUUUGCAUUUUGAUUAUACUAUAUGAAUUAUCUUUCUUUUAUAUUCUAUAUAAACUCUAUGUUUCCCUCGUUAUGCUUCUUUCAAGGGAGGUGCUGCCGGAUUUUUGCAAUACUUUCUUUCUCUAUUUCUUUUCUUAUGUUGUAUAGGUUUUAUGGGAAGGGUAUUUGGUAACAUUCAUUGUGUGGGAGCAGUGGGGUGUUACAGAAGAGCCACUCAGUAAAGCCUCGUCUAGCGAUAGAGCGAGAGGCCGAUAGGAUCUUAAUCAUGCCUCAUGGAGAUUGGAAUUGGGAGGAUUGGUCGUUUGACGGCAAGCGACACAACACCCAGGUUAACCUUAUGUUGGGUUCUCUUUGCCGCCUUCACUACCCUAGUCUAGUGAAGGUGUGAGACGAAGAUAGUGUGGAGGAGGUGCCCGUCAGUAACUGGGACGAGUACAAGUUAAAAAAGGAACGGGGCCGCACUGACAGACACGGACUGGUGCGGCAUGACUUUUGGCUUCAUUAUCGGUUACCUGACGUCGAGGAGUACAUGGGGCACGCUGAACGUUUGUUCCAAAACAAUGCAAAGAAGCUGGUGAAGGAUGCCAUAUACUAUGCGAGAAUUCAGGCUACAAAUAUGUAUUUUCAAAAUCAUCCAGAAGAAGAAGGCCCCUUGAACAAAAAGGAAGGAUCCUCAAAGAAUUAUUUGACUGAGGACCAAUACCAUGUGGCUUCUGAAGGCUUCCAAAAGGCAUUGGUGCAUCACAUGGCAUGUUGAGGCACCAAUCCUAACCACAAGUUUGGCGGCGAUGACAUGCUCCGAAAAGCUAAAAGAACG